This 163-nucleotide unclassified non-coding RNA is filed under the name soil metagenome. RNAcentral describes it as "partial contains 5.8S ribosomal RNA, internal transcribed spacer 2, and large subunit ribosomal RNA". The record is from RNAcentral.
AAGACUAUAGACCUGCGGAGUACCUGCGGAGGGAUCAUUUUUGGAUUCUAUCAUUAGUGCCGAUUACACUCUGUGUAGUCGACCUGCAAACAACAACUCCUUAAACACUGCAUUGUGUCUGAUACUUUAUUAAUACAAAAACAACUUUUAGCAACGGAUCUCU